This is a non-coding RNA of Erythranthe guttata (spotted monkey flower), 3402 nucleotides long. The record is from RefSeq and is a predicted model, not a curated record. Lineage: Eukaryota; Viridiplantae; Streptophyta; Magnoliopsida; Lamiales; Phrymaceae.
CCCAAAAAUGCAAUGUCAUGUGAACGAAUAAUUCAUUAUCUUCAUAUACAUCGUCCUAAUUCAAACCCUCGCCUCUUUCUUCUUCCUCCAUCCCCAAAUCCCACAGAUCGGAUAAUUAGAAACUGAUUUAUAUAAGGAUUUAACUGAUAAUUCGAUCUUAGGGUUUCGCGAUUCUCUCUUCUUCACCGGAAUUCGAAAAUUAGGUUCAAUUUGUUGUAGGAUUUGAAGGCGCGCUCGUACAAUGUACAACGGAAUAGGGUUACAGACCCCUCGGGGCUCCGGCACCAACGGCCACAUACAGUCGAACAAGUUCUUCGUGAGGCCGAAGACGAACAGGGUCACAGAUUCGAGCAAGGGAUUCGAAUCGGGUCAAGGAAUGGCGGGCGUGACCCGGAAAGCUAAUAAGGAGAUACUGGAGCACGAUCGCAAGCGUCAGAUUCAACUCAAGCUUCUCGUGUUGGAGGAUAAGCUGGUUGAUCAGGGGUAUACCGAUGCUGAGGUGGCAGAGAAGCUCGAAGAAGCGAGGAAGUCGCUUGAGGCGAAAGAUGAGAACGAAGAUGGGGGAAACUAUGGCGGUACAUCUGAAAAGGUUUCCGAGACGCAGACCCAUCAGAUUGCUGCAUUGAAGGAAAGGCAGAUGGAAACACUAAAAGCUGCUCUUGGUAUAGAAUCGGAAGCUGAGAAAGAAAAGAAACGCCUUGAAGCUGAGGAGGCUUUGGAACUAGAAGAGGGUGAACUUAGAAACAUCCACAAAAAGGAUGCUGCUAACAGUCAUAAGAUUAAGCUGCAUGAAAAAGAUGCAAGAGAUGACAAGGAUGUGAAAACGAAGCGCCAAGAGAAAGAGAAAACCAAAAGAAGGCAUGAUGAUUCCUCUGAUUCCGAUACCGUUGAGAAGAGGCAUGAGACUAAGGAGAGACAAAAAAAAGGCAGAGGAGCUGCAGCUACCAGUGAUGAUGAUUCUGAUGUCGAUAUUAGGAAGAGAAGAAAAGAGUCUUCCAUGAAAGAGUCAUUGAAGAAAAACAGGAAAGCUCUGAAAAAACGUGGCAGUAGUUCUUCUGAGUCGGAAUCUCAGUCUGAAUCUGAUUCCGGCUCAGGUUCGGAAUCUGACCAUGAUAAGAAAAUACCUCGUCGACGGUAUGGUUCUGAUGAUGGGUAUAAUUCUGGUGGUAGAUCUAAAAGUAGAAAGCAAAAUGUAAAGAAUCUUCCCAAAAGCAAGCGACACGAUUCUGAUGGUGAUAGUUCUGAUGAAGGCCGGGUAAGUCAAAAGUCAAAGAGCAGAAAACACGAUUCUUAUGAAAAAGACAGCUCCGAUGAUGACUCUAAACAGCGUCAUAAGGGGAAGCAAACUGAGAAAAGUAGAGAAAUUGACUCUGAUGAAGGCCCGAAAAAUAAGAGCCGAAGCGGGAAAGAGCCUUCCAAAAGCAGGCGGCAUGAUUCUGAUGAUGAGCUAGAGGAAGAUGAAAGAACUCGGUCUAAGAAAAUAACUCACCAGAAAACUCCUGUUGACAAUAGUAGGAAAAUGAGGAGUGAGAAACGAGAGGAAGUCGUUGGGAGGUAUGGUCAAGAAAGUGAAUCUGAUUCUGAUGAAGCAAAUAAAAAGAAAACAGAGCGACAUGAUAGAUACGAGUAUGAUGCUAGCCGUUAUUCUGAUGUUGAGUUUGAGGAAGAUGAGAGAACUCGGUCUAAGAAAACGACUCAGCAUCAUCAAACCCGCAGACCACAGGACCCUUCUGCUGACUAUCGUAGGAAAGACAGGAGCGAUAGACACGAUAAAGUCGGAGGGAGGUAUGGUCAAGAAAGUGAAUCUGAUUCUGAUGAAGCAACCAAAAAGAAAACAGAGCAACGUGAUAGAGAUGAACGUGAUUUAAAUGCUGGGGAUGGUAGAAAAAAUCAAACUCACGAUUCUGGUAAGGAUUAUAACCGUAAGAGGAAUGAUUCCAUUGAAAGAAACAGAGACAAUGAUAAAACCCGUGAUAGAGUUGGAGGAGUUGAGUCCGUUCCGAAGAAUAGAAGUGGUUAUGGUGAUGAGUCACGGGGCGACAGAGGUGGAGAGAAGGGUUAUGCACCCGAAACUGAUGACUGGGAGAAACUAAAGAACAAGGUUUCUGCUCGAGUAGACACAUUCAAGAAAUUGGAGCAAUUGUCCAAAUCAAAGGGAGAUGGGUCUAGAGAUAGAAGUGAAGAUACGACGAGGGGUAAGAGAAAGACAGAUGGAAGUUUGGAUGAGCAGCAGCCUGAGCGGAAGUCGAGAAAGCUGGAUUCGACGAAAGAAACUGGUUAUGAGGGGACUAAAGUUUCUUCGGAGAGACAAAGCAAAUCAUACAAGCAACCUGUGGAAGAUAAUAGCAAAGAUUCAAGGCCAAUAAUACCUGAGAAAAGGAGAGAUAAUCGGGACAAUGAAGAUGGCCAAAGUAGAAGAGAAAGAGGAGAUGAUGUGGCAUAUAAGAGAGAUCGUGGAAGAGAGAAGGAAGAGCAUGAGAGAGGUGACGUGGCAUAUAAGAGAGAUCGUGGAAGAGAGAAGGAAGAGCAUGAGAGAGGUGACGUGGCAUACAAGAGAGAUCGUGGAGGAGAGAAGGAAGAGCAUGAGAGAGAUGAGGUGGCAUACAAGAGAGAUCGUGGAAGAGAGAAGGAAGAACAUGAGAGAGAUGGCGUGGCGUACAAGAGAGAUCAUGGAAAAGAGAAGGAAGAGCAUGAGAGAGAUGACAUGGCAUACAAGAGAGAUCGUGGAAGAGAGAAGGAAGAGCAUGAGAGAGAUGACGUGGCAUACAAGAGAGAUCGUGGAAGAGAGAAGGAAGAGCGUGAGAGAGAUGGAGAAUAUGCCUCGAAGAGGGCUAGAUACGAUGAAGGAUCUUCUAGAGGAAGAAGAUACGACGAUGGCAGCAACGAUGACAGGCGAUCCAGACACCGGUGAGAUCAACAAAUCUCAUGACAGCAAGAAAUGAUUGUACUUGGUACCUAUUGCAUAUUGGAAUGGAGUCAUGGUGGGUCAGGCUGGCCUGUGGCAAGAAGGGAUCGGACAACAGUUGUAUUGAAAAUUGUCGAACUCGUGUUGGAAGGAGCUUCCUUGCUCGUAUGGUGGAAUCGUGUUUUGGUAUUAUUUCUAUACCACACCUGUUGAAGGUCUUUUGCUGAAGGUCUUUUGCUUACACCUGGUGAAGGUUACACAAAUCAAUGUGUAUAUAUUUGUGCGUAUAUGAAUGGUAGAGUUCUACCCAUCAUCAGAUGUAGCAUAGUAUAACCCAGGGUUUAGAUAUAAUGAUGGAAGUAAUAUUUAUUUCACAUUUAUAUAAAUCAAACUAUCAGCACAAACUUGAGCAAUAAAAUCAAAGAGGAUCAUCAUAUAACUUUAAGUUGGAUGCAAUUACAGUUCAAAAAUGCUGCAAAGAGAAAAAACAAAAACAA